RNAcentral lists this ribosomal RNA (245 nucleotides) under uncultured Lactobacillus sp. RNAcentral's name for it is "partial 16S ribosomal RNA". It matches the Rfam family "Bacterial small subunit ribosomal RNA", at positions 116 to 355 of the family's 1533-position model. Lineage: Bacteria; Bacillati; Bacillota; Bacilli; Lactobacillales; Lactobacillaceae. The record is from RNAcentral.
CGUGGGUAACCUGCCCAAGAGAUCGGGAUAACACCUGGAAACAGAUGCUAAUACCGGAUAACAACAGAUGAUGCCUAUCAACUGUUUAAAAGAUGGUUCUGCUAUCACUCUUGGAUGGACCUGCGGUGCAUUAGCUAGUUGGUAGGGUAACGGCCUACCAAGGCGAUGAUGCAUAGCCAGUUGAGAGACUGAUCGGCCACAUUGGGACUGAGACACGGCCCAAACUCCUACGGGAGGCAGCAGCC